UAGGUAGUUUACGUAUCCUGCUGACGCGGAUAAUUUCCCGAAAGGGAUUGUAAUACGCGAUGAGACCACAUCCGAUCCGUCGGGAGGGGUCAAAGGUUCGGGAUCCUUCGGGACCGAGCGCAGUGGGAGCGGACGACCUCCGAUUAGCUAGUUGGCGGGUAACGGCCCACCAAGGCGAUGAUCGGUAGCCGGCCUGAGAGGGUGUCCGGCCACACUGGGACUGAGACACUGCCCAG
RNAcentral lists this ribosomal RNA (236 nucleotides) under uncultured bacterium. RNAcentral's name for it is "partial 16S ribosomal RNA". It matches the Rfam family "Bacterial small subunit ribosomal RNA", at positions 114 to 334 of the family's 1533-position model. The record is from RNAcentral.